GAUGAACGCUGACAGAAUGCUUAACACAUGCAAGUCAACUUGAAUUUGGGUUUUUUAACUUAGAUUUGGGUGGCGGACGGGUGAGUAACGCGUAAAGAACUUGCCUCACAGCUAGGGACAACAUUUGGAAACGAAUGCUAAUACCUGAUAUUAUGAUUAUAAGGCAUCUUAGAAUUAUGAAAGCUAUAUGCGCUGUGAGAGAGCUUUGCGUCCCAUUAGCUAGUUGGAGAGGUAACGGCUCACCAAGGCGAUGAUGGGUAGCCGGCUUGAGAGGGUGAACGGCCACAAGGGGACUGAGACACGGCCCUUACUCCUACGGGAGGCAGCAGUGGGGAAUAUUGGACAAUGGACCAAGAGUCUGAUCCAGCAAUUCUGUGUGCACGAUGACGUUUUUCGGAAUGUAAAGUGCUUUCAGUUGGGAAGAAAAAAAUGACGGUACCAACAGAAGAAGU
This 452-nucleotide ribosomal RNA is filed under the name Fusobacterium sp. oral taxon A11. RNAcentral's name for it is "bacterial SSU rRNA". It matches the Rfam family "Bacterial small subunit ribosomal RNA", at positions 28 to 491 of the family's 1533-position model. The record is from RNAcentral. Lineage: Bacteria; Fusobacteriati; Fusobacteriota; Fusobacteriia; Fusobacteriales; Fusobacteriaceae.